This 2114-nucleotide long non-coding RNA is filed under the name Helianthus annuus (common sunflower). RNAcentral describes it as "hypothetical non coding rna". Lineage: Eukaryota; Viridiplantae; Streptophyta; Magnoliopsida; Asterales; Asteraceae. The record is from RNAcentral.
UCAACAAACGAAUCGAAAUCUCUUAUUCUGUUCUGCUGAUAUAACUCAACCAAAUUUUAUCCAGCAGAACAGAAUAAGGGGACUAUUAAUACUUGAUUGAUUCUAAACAUCCGUUCUGGAUAUUUUGUAAAUCAAUUUUUGAAUCGAAAAUGAAAAGAAAGAUUGUCAUGGUCGAAGCAAGACUUCCCGAUUCCUUUCUACUACUAAUGUAAUGUCUACUGAUUGGUUUGGAUAGCCGGCAGAUAAUUUAACUACUGGUUGGGGGAAGUUCUUUCUAUACUAUAAUCUACAUAUAUAGACUCGCGAGAAUCUCUGAGUGUUUAGGCAUUCAAUCACUAUUAGAUUAGAUUGAGAUGGAUAAUUUCCUUUUUUAUAGAAAAUAAAAGUGAAAAAAAAAUUUUAACCCCUCGUCAAAAGUAUAAUAUACUAUCUCUCAACUCCUUCAGAGAGACAAUCGGGAAAGGGUACGUAUUAGAUCAAAUAGGAAAAUUUUGUAAUAGAUAGCAAUUGAUCUAUUUUUACUUUGAAGGGCAAUAAAAAAUGAUUGGACCCUCUUAUUUAUUUUAUUACUAGAUGUUCCAUUAGUAACAUUCCUUUGUAAUGUUAUUUUUUAUUUUACUUGUGUUUAGUCUUUCCCGAUUAGAAAUAAUAUAGGAAUUUUUGAAAUGGAUUUAUUUGAUUGGUUCAUCAAUAGUGUUCGGCCAGAAUCCCUUUUUGACUCUGGACCAUUAAUUCUACUAUUAUUAGUGAGCAAUAAUGGAAUAAUUCUAUCAUAGAGAUAAGGGACAUAAUUCACAUGGAUAUAGUAAGUCUCGCUUGGGCUGCUUUAAUGGUAGUCUUUACAUUUUCCCUUUCACUCGUAGUAUGGGGAAGAAGUGGACUUUAGAAGCACUCCUAAUUUAGUUGAGGAAUGAAACGGUAUCAAUUGUUUUAUAGAUCGUUCUGCAACGCAUUUUUGAUUGAAAAUUAUUCAAUUCAAAUCAAAAUAUCUUCAUUUUCAAAUUCCAUUGGAUUCUAGUGGAGAAAUAUAUUCUAUAACAGUAAAACAAUUAUUUCAGAUUCAUCGGAAUAAAUAGAUGUAUCAAACGAACUAGAAUUGGGUCCUACGUCAAUUACAUAUAUGGAUUAAUAAUUACAUCUAUUGAAGAUAGAAGCUAAUAUUGAAGAUAGAAGCUAAUAUAGUAUACCAACUUUAUUAGAAACAAUUUUUAUACACUAUUAUAACACUAAUAGAGAGUAUGGUAAGUAAGAAUUUAUUUCUUACUUACCAUACUCUCGGAUCUCAUAGAAGACCGCCGAUGAUAGCCCGUUUGAUUUCAUUUAAGACGUAAAAAUAGAAUACUUUUCAUUUGAUUUCUUCAACUAUUGAUAAGAAUUCAGAAGUCAAGUUUCAUUUAAAGUAAUUAAUCAUUUUGACUGACUGUUUUUUACGUAAAUUAUAAGUAGAAAAGCAGUAGGAACUAAAAUGAACAGUGCAGUAGCAAUAAAUGCAAGAAUAUUUACUUCCAUAAUCUCAUCGUUUUUUUAUUUCACAAUAACUCGGGAUUUAAUCCCAUAGAGAUGAUAAAUCUUUCACCUGUCAAUUCAAUGAAUGCAUUACCUAUCGAUGAUCUUGAAUCGGAUCAAUAUCAUGAAUAAUAAUAUCUGAGCUAUUAAAUUAAUUCGUCGUCGAGAAUUGAAUAGUAUAACAUACGAACAUCUUUUAUCCAUACCAAAUCCAAUCUUGGAUUCCCGGACCAACCAAAAGUUGCUUUACUUUCUGUAUCCUUCUUUUCUGUUCUUUCUUUUCUAUAACCUACCUUAGGUCUUCCUUAUAGAACCAUCAAACGAAACGAAAUCUAACCGGCCGUCCGAACUACAAAACCCCAACAAACAAUACAAACGAAGUGGAAAAAGAGAGGAAUUAGGUUCUAAAUUUUAAUUAUCUAAUUUCUUGGAGACAAGGAAGUAUGAGAAAGAUGAGUCGCAGGAGAAAAGAUGGAAUAUUCUAUCAACUCACUAUUUUAGUUAUUUUCAUUUUAGUUUAGGGUUUGUUCUUUCUUCGACAGAAUCCUGAAAAAAAGAAGGGAAACCCCUUCGGAAUUCAAUUAUGCUCUCUGUCCCUUCUUUCACAG